GCAAGUCGAGGGGUAACAGGAGUGCUUGCACUUGCUGACGACCGGCGCACGGGUGCGUAACGCGUAUACAAUCUACCUUGUACUAGGGGAUAGCCUUUAGAAAUGAAGAUUAAUACCCUAUAGACUAUUUUAAUGGCAUCAUUUUAAUAGUAAAGGUUACGGUACAAGAUGAGUAUGCGUCCUAUUAGUUAGUUGGUAAGGUAACGGCUUACCAAGACUACGAUAGGUAGGGGCCCUGAGAGGGGGAUC
Molecule: ribosomal RNA, 249 nt
Filed under: uncultured bacterium
Lineage: Bacteria
Description: partial 16S ribosomal RNA
Rfam family: Bacterial small subunit ribosomal RNA
Source: RNAcentral